Molecule: ribosomal RNA, 301 nt
Filed under: uncultured bacterium
Lineage: Bacteria
Description: partial 16S ribosomal RNA
Rfam family: Bacterial small subunit ribosomal RNA
Source: RNAcentral
CAGCCGCCGCGGUAAUACGUAGGGUGCAAGCGUUAAUCGGAAUUACUGGGCGUAAAGCGUGCGCAGGCGGUUUCGUAAGACAGAUGUGAAAUCCCCGGGCUUAACCUGGGAACUGCAUUUGUGACUGCGAGGCUAGAGUGUGUCAGAGGGGGGUGGAAUUCCACGUGUAGCAGUGAAAUGCGUAGAUAUGUGGAGGAACACCGAUGGCGAAGGCAGCCCCCUGGGAUAACACUGACGCUCAUGCACGAAAGCGUGGGGAGCAAACAGGAUUAGAUACCCGCGUAGUCCAUGUCUCUUAUAC